Non-coding RNA from Oncorhynchus mykiss (rainbow trout), 239 nucleotides. The record is from RefSeq and is a predicted model, not a curated record. NCBI's taxonomy places the organism in Eukaryota, Metazoa, Chordata, Actinopteri, Salmoniformes, Salmonidae.
AUGAAGAAUGAGUCAGAUGUAUUGAAUCAUAAUGGAGACUCAAUACAGGAUUAUACAGUAGAGAGGAAUGAGUCAGAUGUGAGGUGUGAGGUGUGUGUGGUGAGGUGUGUGUGGUGAGGUGAGGUGUGUGAGGUGAGGUGUGUGUACCUGGUUGUUGGGGCUGAGGUUGAGUGAGGGGUGUGUACCUGGUUGUUGGGGCUGAGGUUGAGGGAGGUGUGUGUACCUGGUUGUUGGGGUUG